This is a long non-coding RNA of Loxodonta africana (African savanna elephant), 7935 nucleotides long. RefSeq lists it as uncharacterized. NCBI's taxonomy places the organism in Eukaryota, Metazoa, Chordata, Mammalia, Proboscidea, Elephantidae. The transcript has 3 exons. The record is from RefSeq and is a predicted model, not a curated record.
CAUCUUCAACACCUGUGAAAAAAUAAAUGUCACCAUUUUUUCCUGGUAUGUAUACAAUUUGAUUUCCUUGCUGUGUAUGGGUAUGUAUGUGUGUGCAUGGACUUGUAAGUGUAUUUGGGUCUCAUCUGUGUGGAAUUUAAUUUGGUGUCUGGCACGAAGGGAGGAAUUUCUUUUGCCAAAAGAGCUGACCAGUUGUCUCAAUGGGAUUUGUUGAAUAAUCAUUCCUUUCUAAAUGAUUUAAGGUGUUUAUUUUCACUAAUUUAAAAAAGCAAUGCUAUUAUAGCUUCAUCAGGGCUCUGGUGGUGCAGUAGUUAAGAGCUACAGCUGCUAACCAAAAGGUUGACAGUUGGAAUCCACCAGCCACUCCUUGGAAACCCUAUGGGGCAGCUCUCUCUCCUAUAGGGUUGCCACGAGUCGGAGUCGACUCAAUGGCAAUGGGUUUGGUUUUGGGUUUGGUUAUUAUAGCUUCAUCUUGCAGUGGGCCAGAUCCUUAUUCAUCAUUCUAGUCCUUAAAAUACCAAUUAUCAUGGAAUCAACCCUGACUCCUGGCGACUCCAUGUGUGUCAGAGUAGAACUGUGCUCCAUAGGUUUUCAAUGGCUGACUUUUUGGAAGUAAUCUCCAGACAUCUCUUCUAAGACACCUCUGGGUGGACGUGAACCUCCAACUUUUCUGGGUAUACUCGAGCUUCCAAACUGGGUGUACUUGUUAGCCAUUUGUGCCAUUCAAGGACUUCAUUCUAUGCCUUUGGGAGAAAAUUUUAGGGAGCAGAGCACCUUCUUCUGCUUUGGUCUUUCCACUCAUUCUCCCCUGGCUCAGCCUUCUGGGUGCCUCUAUUCAACAGCAGUUAAGCUUUGCCAAGGCCAACCUCUGAGGCAUCCAGUGAAGGUUGGAGGCAAGAUCUGAAACUGGUAAAGGCACAAUGCAUUUGCAUGAAAACCGACCAGGCUAAUUUAGCCAUGCUUACAAGUAUGUCUUUCUGGAUUUAUCAGAGCAGAGCUUUAGUUUGUCUGGCAUUAGACCUAAAAACACACAGUUGCGAACAGAUGACCACCAAGAAGUUAAGUGCUGAGAGACAGAUGAUCUGUGGUCAUUCCUAGUGUUCAAGAGACCUGAGUCUCUAUGGUAAUGACUCUUCUUUUACACAACAAAGUACAGUUGUACAAAGGGGGGAAUGCCAGUCUUAACUAACUAAGCCAAUAGUCAACAAGAUGUUUCCCUUACAGGAAGCCACUAGCCACGUCCUCAGAAAGGUGGGUGGAAACAGACAUCUCUUUAAAUUCUCUUUCUUUCUUUCUUUCUCUCAUUAGUUUUUACAAGUUGGUCCAUGGAAAAAUUCGAGUAACAGAAUUUAACGCCUCAAGUUACGAAGCUUUGUCAAUAUUAAUUUGUUGCACCUUCCACAAAUCAAUAUUGGAAACAGAAACAAGUGAUUCUUUUUAUAUUUCAAGAAGCAGAAACAAUGGAAGUAAAAGUGUCUUGCUGCUUCAGGAGAACAUCAUAAUUAUUUAUAUCAAAGUGCUGCAAGAUUGAAAUGAAAGUGUUUUAAGAGCGCCCUCCCUCCUUGCCUAAAAAGCAUUUAUCACCCUUGAGGAAAGCCCCCAGUGAGGUGCAUUGGCACAAUAGCCUCAACAAUGGGCCCAGAUAUAUGAAAGAUCAUGGAGAUGGUGCAGCUCCAGGCAAUGUUUUGUUCUGUUAUACAUAAGAUUUAGAAGGCAGCUGUCUCAACUACCAGAUCGUAGGCCUCCCCGCGCUUCUCUUCUCCCUGCCAAGCAAGUGGUAAGUGUGUGUUCCUUAUUCCUUCCAAUGAAGGAGUGUUUCUUAACCUGGGGCAAUUUUGCCCCCCAGGGAACAUCUGGUAAUGUCUGGAGACAUUUUUGGUUGUCACAACUGGGUGAGUUACUGCAUUGAGUGGCUAGGGGACAGGAAUGCUGCAACAUCCUACAGUGCCCAGGACAGGCCCCAUAACAAAGACUUAAAUCUGAUCCAAAAUGUCAAUAGUGCCAAAGUUGAGAAAUCUUGAUCUAAAUGAUGAGAUGUGGAGGUCUCAUUGGUCAAAGAAAGGUGUUAUACAGAAGCCUCAGUUAAAGGAAAAUUAGAAACUACAAGUUGGUUCUGCUGAAACCACGGCAAGAUAGCGAGGAGGUUAAGCAUAUGGGCUUUAGAGACAACGACCUGAGCUCUCCAUCUGGAUUCUGCCACAUAGUAGCAGAGUGUCCUUGGCAAGUUCCUUAGCUUCUCUGUACCUCAAGUUACUUGUCUGUAAAAUGAGGAGGAUGAUAAUAGUACCUACUUCCUAGAGCUGCUAUAAGCAUCAUAUGGGUUAAUACAUGUGUAGGGCUUAGACCAAUGUUUAGAAUCAAUAAAACCAAAUGAAGCCAGUUGCUGUCCAGCCAGUUCCGACUCCUAGAGACCCCAUGUGUGUAAGAGUAGAACUAUGAUCCACAGGGUUUUCACUGGUUGAUUUUUCAGAAGUAGAUCUCGGGCCUUUCUUUUGAGGCACCUCUGGGUGGAUUUGAACCAUCAAUCUUUCAGCUAGUAUCCAAGCAUUUAACUGCUUCUGCCACCCAGGGACAUCUUGGCACUCAAUAAGUAUUUGUUACUAAUAUGAUGCUUUAAGGCCUUGUGAUCAGCAGAGUUUUAAGCUGGCCCCAAGAUUCCUGCCUCUGGUGUAUAACCCUUGUAUAAUUCCCUCCCUGUGGUUGUGGGCAGAACCUGCAAACCAGAGAGCACUCUCGUGAUGAGGUUACUCAUCAGUUGACUUUGAGUUCAUUAAAAGAGAGAUUUAUCCAGGUAGGUCUGACCAGGAGCUGUUUAAAUCUUUGUCUAGAAGCCAGAGACAGAUGUCAGAGAAAUUCAAAGCAUGAAGGGGCUUAUGGAGGGCCCUAUGAAGGGGACCAGAAGCCCUGGUGGCCUAGUGGUUGAAAGCUAUGGUUACUAACCAAAAGGUCAGCAGUUUGAAUCCACCAGGCACUCCUUGGAAACGCUAUGCGGCAGUUCUACUCUGUCCUAUAGGGUCGCUAUAAGUUGGAAUUGACUCGACAGCAACGGGUUUGAGUUCUUGAUUUUUAUGGAGGGGACCACAUGGCAAGGAACUGCAGGCUACCUGUGUUAGCUGAGAGUGGCCCGUACAGACAAGCAGCAAGAGAGCAGGCCCUCAGUCCUACAGCCCUAAGGAACUGAAUUCUGCCAUCAACCAUGUGAGCUGGAAAGAGGACCCUAAGCUCCAGAAAGGAGCAGAUCCCAGCCCACACCUUCCCUUCAGCUUUGCAAGACCCUGAGUAGAGGGCCCAGCUCUGUUGUGCCUGGACUUCUGACCUACAGAAACUGUGAGAUAAUAAAUGAUUGUUCUUUAAAGCCACUAAGUUUGUGGUAACAUGUUACGAGGAUUAGGAAACAAAUACAGGCUUCAAAAAAAGGUGAUAUUUCAAUCUCAUGUGACCAACUAAGUAUCACAGUGGGAAGACCUGACCCAGAGUGUCAACUCAGUCACAUCCUAGCUGCAGGAACCACCUGAAAUCCUUUUUGGAGCCAGAAAAAAAUCAAUAAAUACAUUCAACAAACUAACUGGGUGUGAGACUGGGCAAGUCCCCUUAGCUCAUGUUCCUGUUGGUAAAAUUCAUAAAUUGAACCAGGUAGUUACUAAGCUGCUCUGUUUCCUCUAAUUCUGAACUAUCUCAGGAUGCCAAACAGUGAGUACAGAAUGAAUACAGUAGUUUUGUAACAGAGACUAUUUCAAACCUGAGCAAACCGGACUGAACAUUUCGGCUCCCCUUUGAUAUACACACUUUGGGUGUUCCUGAGAAUGUAGACAGGGAUUCAUGUUAGGCAAACCUCCAAACAUUUAGUGGGUUUGGCUCAGAAAUGCCUUAUUUAUAGAUACCUUUUUCUCUUAGAAGUUUAAAUCACUUGAAACACAUGUAAUUAAUCUUUGAUUCAUCCUUAAAGAAUAAAGAGGGGCUUUACCUGAGGGUUCUGGAAGAAUAUUGACGUGUCCGUGAACACAUACGUUCUCAGGGACUAGUCAACUCACAGCUGAAGGGGGCCUCAGUUAAAAGAACUUUGGCUUCAGUGGACCUAUGGAUGUGCUCAAGAGCAUGUUAAAAUGAAGAUCCCCAGAUCACCACCAUUCUCUUACAGACAACCUGAUUCAGAAGGUGCUGGGGCGGGCCUCGGGAAUUUGCAUUUUUCGCAAGCACCUGUGAAAAUUCUGAAUGCAGGUGGUCUGUGGGCUAAACUCUGAAAAACUCAAGGCUUGAAGGAAGCUUUGCAAAUAGCUAUUUGCAGAUUACGUUGAGUAUUGGGAAGGAAGUUUCCAUCAGGAAGAAAAAUCCAACUGAGAUGACUGAAGGAAGAAUUUUUUUUUUUAAUUAUACUUUAGUUGAAGGUUUACAGAACAAACUAGCUUCUCACUAAACAAUUAGUAUGCAUAUUGUUUUGUGACCUUGGUUGACAACCCCACGAACCCCACAACAUGUCAACAUUCUCUCUUUUCAACCUUGGGUUCCCUCUUACCAGCUUUCCCGUCCCCUCCUGCCUUCUAGUCCUUGCCCCUGGGCUGGUGUGCCCCUUUAUUCUUGUUUUGUUUUAUGGGUCUUUCUAAUCUUCGGCUGAACAGUGAGCCUUAGGAUUGACUUCUUUGCUGAGCUAAAGAGGUGUCUGGUACCAUACUGUUAGGGUUUCUCUAGUCUCUGUCAGGCCAGUAAGUUUGGUCUUUUUUUGUCAGUUAGAAUUUUGUUCUACAUUUUUCUCCAGCCCUGUCAGGAACCCUCUAUUGCGAUCCCUGUCAGAGCAGUCCAUGGUGGUAGCUGGGUACCUUCUAUUUGUGCUAGACUCUGUCUGGUGGAGACUGUGGCAGUUGUGGUCUGUUAGUCCUUUGGACUAAUCUUUCUGAAGGAAGAAUGUUUAUGAUGAAAUUGGAGGAGUAUGAGCAGGUUUAACGGAGACAGUAGGAGAUGUUCAGGCACAGGAGGCUGGCAAAAGCCAGAACCCAUCACCAUUCAUAGGCUCGAAGGAGCAAGGGGUUGUGGUAAUGUUAUUAAACCCAUUCUGAGGUGGGGGUGGUGAGGACUGCCCCCAGGAGAGGCCGUAGUCAAAGGAGAAAAUCAGCAAAUGUCAGAGACUGUACAUGAAAGCAGAGAGGGAGGCGGAAGAAACACUUGGACCUCUCUCUUCUCCCACCUUUGUUUCUCCUACUCGUACCUUCCAACUGAAUGCCAUUUGGCAAGACAGCCAUCUAGCAUUUCCCAAAAGUCAGCUUCUGGAGGCAAAGAAUAGGGCAGAGAAGGCAGUAAAUGGAUGGGAGUUGGUGGGGGGCAGUAAAUAAUGGAGAAUAAUCAGCAUGUUUUAAAUCUCUAGACCAAAAAUCACCAACAUGAGGAAUUGCUGGGCAAUUAAAAUAAUGAGUAGAUCAAAAGGGAAGCAAUAAUAACCACUAUCAAGGGGGGCUCUUAUAUGAGACACCCCAGAAGGCCAGGAGCCUUGGAAUCAGGAUGCGAUUUUGAGGUGGGUGAGAAGGAAGGUGGUAAAAGGCAGGGCUCUGGCCCUUGUUUAACUCACAGAUCAAUCUUUUGAAGUCAGCUUUGAAAAUGAUGGGAAUGACAUCUGAAUGUGCUGCAGCACCCUUCCAAAGACAUUCAGACAAGUUGCACCCACUGUCCCGAGCACCAGUCCAAUGUCCAAGGGAGCUGGAGGGAAAAUAGCAGGAACCCAGCAUUUCUGCGAACAGCGUUGCCAAAGCUCACUGCUGCCCUCUGGGCAAAGCAAAUCAAUGUAACUAACACUCAGAGCACUCAUCAUAAACUGCCUUGUCAUUACUAAUCAUGAAAAAUCUAUUUUCUGCACUAAGUUAUGACCACCAUUAAGAGAAUGACUUUUUUUUUUAAGAAAAUUUUUGUGUGUAGCUAAGCCACAUAAUUCAAUUCAGAUGUACAGAGAAAAGGGAAUUUCUUUAUUUUAUCUUUAUUUUGUGUUGGCCCUCUUCCUAAGUCCCCACCCAUCUGUGGGGAAAAAGCUAAGUAGAAGAAUUUGGUUUAAAGUUUAAAAUGUCCAAUCUGGCUUAGAGUCCCAGUAAUUUAAUAACCCCUUAGGCUGUGUGAGGUCACUAUUGGACAAAGUUGCUCAUUCUCUCAGUUAUCCUGGUCUCUCCGCUGUGUCUCAACCUCAGAUGGUAUCUGGAUGUAGGUCUAGGGAGGAGUGUGGCUUACUGGUUCCCUGAUAUAUUGGUGGGAGAUGGACAGGCCCCUGGCCUCAAGAGAGUUCAUGAGCUACACUGGUGGGCAUCUGUGCAUCUCCAGUGGGGUGCCCCUUGUCCCUGUCACUGAAUACUCUAAUGGCCCUCAGGACCGAACUCUGCAGCCGGCGAACUCAUGGUGAACGCAUGGUUUAAUCUUCUGACAUCACCACUGUUCAAAAGAAUUUGCCGUUUGUUUUCUGCUCACUAUUUCUGUCCAACUGUAAUCAUCUGUAUACUCCUGGGUCUGCUAUGUUUUCUCUCCAGCUCCUAGGUCUCACUAUCCACUGAAGCCUCUGCUGUGGGGCCACCUUGCUUUGUCCCAGUAGACCCUGAGCAAAGUCCUCUGGCUUUCAACUCAGCAUCUUAUGGGGAGAAGAGAACCAAGGGAGGGUCCAGACUGCCAGUUAGACUGUUCCUCUGUCCGUGUCCACUCAAGUACCUAGACAGCAUGUUGAUGUGGGCCCUUCUGUUUGUAAUCUUCUCCCUAAGGUCCAAAUGGGCAUGUUGGGCAGUCCCUCCCCCAGUGAUUUCCUCAGUUUGUCUAAUACAUGUAUUCCCACUCUAGGCCAAAAGCCAGGAGGGGGCAAAGGGGACACUCAUCUCACCAUCUUGCCUUCCCCAUUCACUUUCCUUCUUUUCUUCUCUUUUCUACUUUCCUGGGUCUGAAAGAAACCAUUCUUAUUUCCCUAUCCCCUGUACUCCACACACACACAUACACCCUGGUCUCCUCUUACCCACUUCCUGCUCUUGAAGUACCUUAUGUACAACUCAGUGAUCUAAUUGAUCAGGUAGGCUCAUUGAGAAGAUAAAAGGAAAGAUAAAGCCAUACCCAUUGCCACCCAGUCAAUGCUGACUCACGGUGAACCCAUAUGUUACAGAGUAGAAUUGAUUGCCAUUAGGUUUUCUUAGCUGUAAUCUUUUCAGAAGCAGAUCAUUGGGCCUUUCUUCUGUGGUGCUGUUCGAACCAUCAACCUUUUGGUUAGCAGCUGAGUCCAAACCAUUUGUGCUACCCAGGGUCCUGAUAAAGAUGGGAGGCAAGGUAUUUGGUGUAGUGGUUAAGAGCUUGGCUGUUAACCCAAAGAUCAGCAGUUCAAAUCCACCAGCCACUCCUUAGAAACCCUAUGGAGCAGUUCUACUCUGUCCUAUAGGGUCUCUAUGAGUCAAAAUAGACUCAACAGCAACGGGUACAGGUAUGGGUAAUACCUUUACAUUAGUCUCAAGGUAAGACUAAUGUUAUGCUGCAAAGUCCUAUUAUGGAAUGCCAGAAGGUGAUUAUCAAUUUCUUCCUCUUUGAAUUCCAUAUCGCACAGUCUCCCUAAUUCCCAGCCGCUUCCUGCCCUCAUGCCCGUCCUCAGCUCUAGAUAGAUAUUCCAGGCCAGUGAAGGAAAAUUCACGUACUGGCAAGGCAAAAAGAGCCAAGUUCAUUUGUAACGUGUUGCCCUCAUUUUCCCUGAAAACCUUGUAGAGCCAAACUCUGUACUUUGAAUGUGCUAGGUGCUCAGCAUGAGGUUGAACCGAGUCAGAAGCAGUCAAAUAAGAACUGUGAUGUGGUUGCCACACCUCUGGACUACAAGCAUGGAUUUGUAUCUUUUUUCCCUUCCUUCUUCCUUCUUCAGCUGUCACACCUUGGUGAUCCUAUAGCCAAAUAUUCCUUAAGAAAAAAAAAAAAAGCCCACAAAUACAUAAUCAUCUUGGUAACACC